AAGGCCGAGAGCUGAUGACGAGUUACCUUUCAGGUGACGAAGUGGUUGAUGCCAUGCUUCCAAGAAAAGCUUCUAAGCUUCAGAUAACCAGGAACCGUACCCCAAACCGACACAGGUGGUUGGGUAGAGAAUACCAAGGCGCUUGAGAGAACUCGGGUGAAGGAACUAGGCAAAAUGGCACCGUAACUUCGGGAGAAGGUGCGCCGGUGAGGGUGAAGCAUUUACUGCGUAAGCCCACGCCGGUCGAAGAUACCAGGCCGCUGCGACUGUUUAUUAAAAACACAGCACUCUGCAAACACGAAAGUGGACGUAUAGGGUGUGACGCCUGCCCGGUGCCGGAAGGUUAAUUGAUGGGGUUAGCUAACGCGAAGCUCUUGAUCGAAGCCCCGGUAAACGGCGGCCGUAACUAUAACGGUCCUAAGGUAGCGAAAUUCCUUGUCGGGUAAGUUCCGACCUGCACGAAUGGCGUAACGAUGGCGGCGCUGUCUCCACCCGAGACUCAGUGAAAUUGAAAUCGCUGUGAAGAUGCAGUGUAUCCGCGGCUAGACGGAAAGACCCCGUGAACCUUUACUAUAGCUUUGCACUGGACUUUGAAUUUGCUUGUGUAGGAUAGGUGGGAGGCUUUGAAGCGUGGACGCCAGUUCGCGUGGAGCCAUCCUUGAAAUACCACCCUGGCAACUUUGAGGUUCUAACUCAGGUCCGUUAUCCGGAUCGAGGACAGUGUAUGGUGGGUAGUUUGACUGGGGCGGUCUCCUCCUAAAGAGUAACGGAGGAGUACGAAGGUGCGCUCAGACCGGUCGGAAAUCGGUCGUAGAGUAUAAAGGCAAAAGCGCGCUUGACUGCGAGACAGACACGUCGAGCAGGUACGAAAGUAGGUCUUAGUGAUCCGGUGGUUCUGUAUGGAAGGGCCAUCGCUCAACGGAUAAAAGGUACUCCGGGGAUAACAGGCUGAUACCGCCCAAGAGUUCAUAUCGACGGCGGUGUUUGGCACCUCGAUGUCGGCUCAUCACAUCCUGGGGCUGAAGCCGGUCCCAAGGGUAUGGCUGUUCGCCAUUUAAAGUGGUACGCGAGCUGGGUUUAGAACGUCGUGAGACAGUUCGGUCCCUAUCUGCCGUGGACGUUUGAGAUUUGAGAGGGGCUGCUCCUAGUACGAGAGGACCGGAGUGGACGAACCUCUGGUGUUCCGGUUGUCACGCCAGUGGCAUUGCCGGGUAGCUAUGUUCGGAAUAGAUAACCGCUGAAAGCAUCUAAGCGGGAAACUAGCCUCAAGAUGAGAUCUCACUGGGACCUUGAGUCCCCUGAAGGGCCGUCGAAGACUACGACGUUGAUAGGUUGGGUGUGUAAGCGCUGUGAGGCGUUGAGCUAACCAAUACUAAUUGCCCGUGAGGCUUGACCAU
Molecule: ribosomal RNA, 1397 nt
Filed under: Pseudomonas mohnii
Lineage: Bacteria; Pseudomonadati; Pseudomonadota; Gammaproteobacteria; Pseudomonadales; Pseudomonadaceae
Description: partial 23S ribosomal RNA
Rfam family: Bacterial large subunit ribosomal RNA
Source: RNAcentral